GAUGAACGCUAGCGGGAGGCCUAACACAUGCAAGCCGAGCGGUAGAGUUCCUUCGGGAACUUGAGAGCGGCGUACGGGUGCGUAACACGUGUGCAACCUACCUUUAUCUGGGGGAUAGCCUUUCGAAAGGAAGAUUAAUACCCCAUAAUAUAAUGAUUGGCAUCAAUUAUUAUUGAAAACUCCGGUGGAUAGAGAUGGGCACGCGCAAGAUUAGAUAGUUGGUGAGGUAACGGCUCACCAAGUCAAUGAUCUUUAGGGGUCCUGAGAGGGAGAUCCCCCAAACUGGUACUGAGACACGGACCAGACUCCUACGGGAGGCAGCAGUGAGGAAUAUUGGACAAUGGGUGAAAGCCUGAUCCAGCCAUCCCGCGUGAAGGAUGACGGUCCUAUGGAUUGUAAACUUCUUUUGUACAGGGAUAAACCUACUCUCGUGAGGGUAGCUGAAGGUACUGUACGAAUAAGCACCGGCUAACUCCGUG
Molecule: ribosomal RNA, 479 nt
Filed under: uncultured bacterium
Lineage: Bacteria
Description: partial 16S ribosomal RNA
Rfam family: Bacterial small subunit ribosomal RNA
Source: RNAcentral